UACAGAGGGUGCAAGCGUUAAUCGGAGUUACUGGGCGUAAAGGGCGCGUAGGCGGAUAAUUAAGUCAUGAGUGAAAGACCUGGGCUUAACCUAGGAACUGCUCCUGAUACUGAUAAUCUAGAGUAGGAUAGAGGGAAGUGGAAUUUCCGGUGUAGCGGUGAAAUGCGUAGAUAUCGGAAGGAACACCAGUGGCGAAGGCGGCUUCCUGGAUCCAUACUGACGCUGAGGCGCGAGAGCGUGGGGAGCAAACAGG
Molecule: ribosomal RNA, 253 nt
Filed under: uncultured bacterium
Lineage: Bacteria
Description: partial 16S ribosomal RNA
Rfam family: Bacterial small subunit ribosomal RNA
Source: RNAcentral